GAUGAAGAACGCAGCGAAAUGCGAUAAGUAAUGUGAAUUGCAGAAUUCAGUGAAUCAUCGAAUCUUUGAACGCACAUUGCGCCCGCCAGUAUUCUGGCGGGCAUGCCUGUUCGAGCGUCAUUUCAACCAUCAAGCCCCCGGGCUUGUGUUGGGGACCUGCGGCUGCCGCAGGCCCUGAAAACCAGUGGCGGGCUCGCUAGUCACUCCGAGCGUAGUAGUUACAUCUCGCUCAGGGCGUGCUGCGGGUUCCGGCCGUUAAAAGCCUUUUACCCCAAGGUUGACCUCGGAUCAGGUAGGAAGACCCGCUGAACUUAAGCAUAUCAAUAAGCGGAGG
This 334-nucleotide unclassified non-coding RNA is filed under the name soil metagenome. Its description in RNAcentral is "partial contains 5.8S ribosomal RNA, internal transcribed spacer 2, and large subunit ribosomal RNA". The stretch from base 1 to 120 matches the Rfam family "5.8S ribosomal RNA", at positions 35 to 154 of the family's 154-position model. The record is from RNAcentral.